CCUACGGGUGGCUGCAGUGAGGAAUAUUGGUCAAUGGACGAAAGUCUGAACCAGCCAUGCAGCGUGCAGGAUGACGGCUCUAUGAGUUGUAAACUGCUUUUAUAUAAGGGUAAACCUGAAUAUGCGUAUUCAGCUGUAUGUACCGUACGAAUAAGGAUCGGCUAACUCCGUGCCAGCAGCCGCGGUAAUACUGAGGAUCCAAGCGUUAUCCGGAUUUACUGGGUUUAAAGGGUGCGUAGACGGCUUGAUAAGUUAGAGGUGAAAUGUCCGAGCUUAACUCGGGAACUGCCGCUAGUACUGUUGAGCGAGAGAGUAGAUGCGGUAGGCGGAAUGUAUGGUGUAGCGGUGAAAUGCUUAGAGAUCAUACAGAACACCGAUUGCGAAGGCAGCUUGCCAAUCUAUAUCUGACGUUGAGGCACGAAAGCGUGGGGAGCGAACAGGAUUAGAUACCCUAGUAGUC
Molecule: ribosomal RNA, 460 nt
Filed under: uncultured bacterium
Lineage: Bacteria
Description: partial 16S ribosomal RNA
Rfam family: Bacterial small subunit ribosomal RNA
Source: RNAcentral